UCAGACGAUGCGUCAUGCAUAUCAAUAAGCGGAGGAAAAGAAACUAACUAGGAUUCCCCUAGUAACGGCGAGUGAAGCGGGAAGAGCUCAAAUUUGAAAUCUUCAAGGUUUUACCUUGACGAAUUGUAGUUUAAAGAAGUGUUUUCUGUUGGAGUUUUGGUAAAAGUUCUUUGGAAAAGGACAUCAUAGAGGGUGAGAAUCCCGUAUUUGACCAUUAUCUCCAGCUUUGUGAUACACUUUCAAAGAGUCGGAUUGUUUGGGAAUGCAGUCCAAAAUGGGUGGUAAAUUUCAUCUAAAGCUAAAUAUUGGCGAGAGACCGAUAGCGAACAAGUACCGUGAGGGAAAGAUGAAAAGAACUUUGAAAAGAGAGUUAAACAGUACGUGAAAUUGUCAAAAGGGAAGCGUUUGACACCAGUGUUGUUUUCUCGAAAAUCAAUUAAAAAGAGUUUGAUUUUGUGUUGUAUUGACCUUAACAGCUUGCAUUUCACUCUUUCCUGCUUUUUUUAAUGCACUUUUCGUUUAACAAGUCAACAUCAGUUUCUUUUGUUGUAAAAGGGUCAUUGGAAGGUGGCUUUCUCUUCGGAGAAAGUGUUUAUAGCCUUUGAUCUCUGCAAUCGGAGAGACUGAGGUCUGCAGCGUAGAUCCUUCGGGGUUAGAUACAUUUGUGCUAAGCUAUCAGCUUUUCAUAGACAACUUGUUGACUAUGAUUUAGUCUUGUAGCUUACCCGCUUAUGCUAUUUUACCUACGCUUAGGAUGUUGAUAUGCAUGACUGAUAU
Molecule: ribosomal RNA, 777 nt
Filed under: uncultured Neocallimastigales
Lineage: Eukaryota; Fungi; Neocallimastigomycota; Neocallimastigomycetes; Neocallimastigales
Description: partial large subunit ribosomal RNA
Rfam family: Eukaryotic large subunit ribosomal RNA
Source: RNAcentral